Homo sapiens (human) is the source of this 2097-nucleotide long non-coding RNA. RefSeq annotates it as long independently transcribed non-coding RNA 2631. The transcript is spliced from 3 exons. Lineage: Eukaryota; Metazoa; Chordata; Mammalia; Primates; Hominidae. The record is from RefSeq and is marked validated.
GAGAAACACACAGAGACCCAGGGAAGAGGCCAUGUGAAUGAAGAUGGAGGCAGAGACUGAAUUUAGGUUCCCACAAACCAAGGAAUGCCAGAAACCACCAAAAGCUGGAAGAGGAAAAGGAGGAUUCUUCCUUACAGACUUCAGAGAGAGCAUGGCCCUGAAAACACAUUGAUUUCAGACUUUCAGCCUCCAGAAUCAUGAGAGAAAAAAUGUCUGUUGUUUUAAGUCACAGCAGCUGUAAGAAACCAGUACAAGUAUCACUGUGUUUUAAGCCUGUGGGCCUGACUCAUGAGUGUCUAUCAGAAAUGCCCUCUCCUCUAUAUUCACUUAGAUGUUUCAUAUUUCUCCUUUGCAUGUCAUUCAUGGCUUUCAGGAAGACUUUUUUGGCAGCCCAGGGCAGGUCUGGCUUUAUGCUACCAGCAGCCCAGGGCAGGUCUAGCUUUAUGCUGUCAGAUGGAGUGGGCUAUAAGUAGAAUGUGACCAGGCUGAUGGUGAUGCUGCUGCUUCUAGCCUGGCAUCAUACUGGUUUUCCUCUGCAGUUGAGAAGAGUCAUGUGCAAGCUCGUGGCAGCAGCAAGUCCUCCUAAUAUGUCCCUGGUAUCAAACUAACUCAUUAGACUGUGGUAGCUGUGGUUGACUCCUGGUUUCUCCCAACUCCACCCUUUUGGCAGGCAGCAACCCUGGCCAGCAGCUGCUCAUGGUCUAGGAAGGACAGCUGUCUUAACACCCAUUCAUCUGUAGAGAGCAGCCUUUUGGAUCAGCGGAUGGCUCCACCAGAUGCUCAGCUUGUUUUCAGUUCUGGAGUCUGAAAUCCCCAGUGCCAUCUACCUGGCAUCAGUCUCAGGUGCAGCAUUUUCAUAAGGACCCUGAUGUCAGCAGCUGCUUGUGGUGAAACAUCUCACAGUGGAAGAGGAGCAUUCUGUGUUGAGAAUUUCCAUUGACGAAGCCAACUGAGUGGCCUGAUUCCCUUGGACCAGCAAUCUAGAGCUAGGGAAGAUGUUGCCCCAAGGAAGAGGCACAGCAGACACUUGGCUCUCCUCUUGGGUUUCUGCUUUCUCUGAGAAAACAGAAGUUUGAGGCCUCUAGAAGCACUGCAUUCCCUCCAAAGGGAGGUUGUAGAUACAUUAAUUAAUAUGAUUUUAAUUCAAAACUUCCUGAGGCAGAUAAUUCUAAAUGAUUAUCCCAAAAAUAUUUCCAACACCCUUCUUUUUACCACCCACUGGCCCCCAAAUCCUCAAUUUUCCAGUCUCCCUUGAGCUAAGUGUGGCCCUAUGACUCACUUCCAGCCAUGAAAACAAGUGCAAAUCUGUUAGGAGUAUGUUCUGGGGCAAUUUUUGCUCUCCUGAUGAAGACAAAGGCUGUUGAUCCACUGAACCCACCCAGACACUAUGUGGUUUCUUGAAUGUCCUACGUACAUUUUGAUGGAUUACCCAAGGACUAUCUGAUGAAGAAUAAUAGAGACAUAUAAAUACAUAUGGGCUACAUCUUGGCAAAAUAAAGUAAUCCUGAAGUAAAUUCUAAGGAUGUUCUGAAUUGACACCUCUUAAGCACAACCGAAUGUCCUGGUGGCUUUGCCUCCCACUGGGGCUUUUUGGCUCUUGUUUGGCCCCAGCGGCUGCUGCAGCUCUGUCUGAAUUCACACAGGAGCAACAUGAUGGUGCUCAGCCCUCGCCGAAGUGUCUUGCUGAAGAGUUGGGAGAUGCUUGGACUAUUCAGAUAGAAGCCAGCUGGAAGUACAGGGCAGUCAACACAAACCAGAGAGGCAAACUUUUGGCCAGUGAGACAUGGAAAGGGAGAAGAAAUACAUUCUUCUUUCUCCCCUAGAGUGAGGACCAACCUGAGUCCCAGUCACCUGGAAUCCCCUCAGACGAGCGUCCCUUGAGAUCCAGCACAUGGCAGCCAGCGUGCUGACGAUUCCUUCCUGCCUACUGGCUCCUUCUUAUUUCUGCCUCCGUGGAACUGUAUUCUCUAAUCAAUAUUAGCACAUACAUAUUGCCCCAGACUGUACCUCCUGGGAACCCAGGAUAAAGCACUAUCUAAACAUUUUGUCUUGGAAUUGUAAUAAACUUCAAAAGAAAAAUACAACUUGAAAGUUAAA